This 253-nucleotide ribosomal RNA is filed under the name uncultured bacterium. RNAcentral describes it as "partial 16S ribosomal RNA". It matches the Rfam family "Bacterial small subunit ribosomal RNA", at positions 524 to 776 of the family's 1533-position model. The record is from RNAcentral.
UACGGAGGGUGCAAGCGUUAUCCGGAUUCACUGGGUUUAAAGGGUGCGUAGGCGGGCAGGUAAGUCCGUGGUGAAAUCUCUGAGCUUAACUCAGAAACUGCCAUGGAUACUAUUUGUCUUGAAUAUUGUGGAGGUAAGCGGAAUAUGUCAUGUAGCGGUGAAAUGCUUAGAUAUGACAUAGAACACCAAUUGCGAAGGCAGCUUACUACACAGUUAUUGACGCUGAGGCACGAAAGUGCGGGGAUCAAACAGG